RNAcentral lists this ribosomal RNA (475 nucleotides) under Sesamia calamistis. Its description in RNAcentral is "partial 16S large subunit ribosomal RNA". The record is from RNAcentral. Lineage: Eukaryota; Metazoa; Arthropoda; Insecta; Lepidoptera; Noctuidae.
UGUCUUUUUGAAAAUAAUAUAAAGUCUAAUCUGCCCACUGAUUUAAUAUUAAAGGGCUGCAGUAUAUUGACUGUACAAAGGUAGCAUAAUCAUUAGUCAUUUAAUUGAUGACUUGUAUGAAAGAUUGGAUGAAAUAUAAACUGUCUCUUAAUUAUAUUUAGAAUUUAAUUUUUUAAUUAAAAAGUUAAAAUGAAUUAAAAAGACGAGAAGACCCUAUAGAGUUUUAUAAUUAAAUUAAUUGAGAUUUUUUGUAAGAUUAAAAUUAAAAUUAAUUUAUUUAUUUUGUUGGGGUGACAGAAAAAUAUGGAGAACUUUUUUUAUAAUAUUACAUAAAUAAGUGGUUAAAUGAUCCAAUAUUAUUGAUUAUAAGAAAAAAUUACCUUAGGGAUAACAGCGUAAUUUUUUUUUUUAGUUCAUAUAAAAAAAAAAGUUUGCGACCUCGAUGUUGGAUUAAGAUAAAAUUUAAAUGCAGAAG